GACGAACGCUGGCGGCGUGCUUAACACAUGCAAGUCGAACGGAAAGGCCCCUUUGGGUGUACUCGAGUGGUGAACGGGUGAGUAACACGUGAGUAACCUGCCCUUGACUUCGGGACAAGUUCAGGAAACUGGGGCUAAUACCGGAAAGGAAUCCUUGCUGCAUGGUGGGGGUUGGAAAGCUUCGGCGGUUUUGGGUGGACUGGCGGCUUAUCAGCUUGUUGGUGGGGUAGUGGCUUACCAAGGCGUUGACGGGUAGCCGGCCUGAGGGAGUGAGAGGCGGCAUUGAGACUGAGGUACGGCCGAGGCUGCUACGGGUGGCAACAGUGGGGAAUAUUGAACAAGCGGCGGAGGCCUGAUGAAGAAGCGCCUCGUGUGGUAUGACGGCCUUGGUGUUGAAAACCGCUUUCAGCAGGGGCGAAGCUUGUGGUGACGGUACCUGAAGAAGAAGCACCGGCUAACUACGUG
Molecule: ribosomal RNA, 465 nt
Filed under: uncultured bacterium
Lineage: Bacteria
Description: partial 16S ribosomal RNA
Rfam family: Bacterial small subunit ribosomal RNA
Source: RNAcentral